AGAGUUUGAUCCUGGCUCAGAUGAACGCUGCGGCAGCUACACAUGCAAGUCGAACGGUACAUUUCUAGCUGCUAGAAGAUGACGAGUGCGACGGGUGAGUAAUGCUUGGGAACUUGCCUUCAGGAGGGGAUACAGUUGGAAACGACUGCUAAUACCGCAUAAUGUCUUUGGACCAAAGCGGGCUUUUAGCUCGCACUGAAGAGAGGCCCAAGUGAGAUUAGCUAGUUGGUAAGGUAAAGGCUUACCAAGGCGACGAUCUCUAGCUGUUCUGAGAGGAAGAUCAGCCACACUGGGACUGAGACACGGCCCAGACUCCUACGGGAGGCAGCAGUGGGGAAUAUUGCACAAUGGGGGGAACCCUGAUGCAGCCAUGCCGCGUGUGUGAAGAAGGCCUUCGGGUUGUAAAGCACUUUCAGUUGUGAGGAAAGGUUGGUAGUUAAUACCUGCCAGCUGUGACGUUAACAACAGAAGAAGCACCGGCUAACUCCGUGCCAGCAGCCGCGGUAAUACGGAGGGUGCGAGCGUUAAUCGGAAUUACUGGGCGUAAAGCGCACGCAGGCGGUUUGUUAAGCUAGAUGUGAAAGCCCCGGGCUCAACCUGGGAUGGUCAUUUAGAACUGGCAGACUAGAGUCUUGGAGAGGGGAGUGGAAUUCCAGGUGUAGCGGUGAAAUGCGUAGAUAUCUGGAGGAACAUCAGUGGCGAAGGCGGCUCCCUGGCCAAAGACUGACGCUCAUGUGCGAAAGUGUGGGUAGCGAACAGGAUUAGAUACCCUGGUAGUCCACACCGUAAACGCUGUCUACUAGCUGUUUGUGAAUUUAAUUCGUGAGUAGCGAAGCUAACGCGCUAAGUAGACCGCCUGGGGAGUACGGCCGCAAGGUUAAAACUCAAAGGAAUUGACGG
Molecule: ribosomal RNA, 900 nt
Filed under: uncultured Pseudoalteromonas sp.
Lineage: Bacteria; Pseudomonadati; Pseudomonadota; Gammaproteobacteria; Alteromonadales; Pseudoalteromonadaceae
Description: bacterial SSU rRNA
Rfam family: Bacterial small subunit ribosomal RNA
Source: RNAcentral